UAGGGAAUCUUCCACAAUGGACGCAAGUCUGAUGGAGCAACGCCGCGUGAGUGAAGAAGGGCUUCGGCUCGUAAAGCUCUGUUGUUAAAGAAGAACGUGGGUAAGAGUAACUGUUUACCCAGUGACGGUAUUUAACCAGAAAGCCACGGCUAACUACGUGCCAG
Molecule: ribosomal RNA, 164 nt
Filed under: uncultured bacterium
Lineage: Bacteria
Description: partial 16S rRNA
Rfam family: Bacterial small subunit ribosomal RNA
Source: RNAcentral